AAAAAAAAAAGAAAAGUAUAUAUAUAUAUAUAUUAACAUGAUAUCAGAGCGAGCUGUCAUGUACUAGUAUUCGUUAAUUUUGAAUAGUGUCGCAUUUCCAAGAGUUGUGAUCUUAAUCGAAAAGAAAAAAGAAGGACCUGUUGCGAAGAUGCAGGUGAUGAGGGCGCGGAUGAGGCGCGCGAGUAAGCGCGCGGGGCGAGAGGUUCUCCUGGGCGUAGAAGCUCCGCGGUUGAUUCCGGAGAGGUAGGAGGAGAAGGUGUUGGGGGGCGACGACGCGUGGGGAAGCGCGCUGAUCACUUCCAUUGCUUUCGCCUCUGCUUUUGCUUCUGCUUCUGCCUCUGCUUUCGCUUUUCUUGUUCGACUUCUUCUGUAUUUGUAUGUGUCUGUGUGUGUGUGUGUAAGAGAGAGAGAGAGAGAGAGAGAGAGAGAGGAGUAUUGUGUUGUUGGUUUAGGUGCCUUUAUAUAUACGAGUUAUAAAGAGAGAGAGAGAGAGAGAGGUACCUGUGUGACAUUAUUGGACGGUUGUUUGGGUUUUAUGUAUUCCUUUUUUAUGUUUUUUUUUAUUUUUUUAUGAACAAAUUUUAUUGUAGUUUAUAAACUAUAUAAUAAUUAAAAUAAUUUAAUUGGUUCACUUCAGCUAAUAAUUUUUCUCUUCCGGUUAAAUAUAAAAAUAUUUUAAAUAUUGCUCUCUAACAGCUUAAACAACAGCUUAAGUUUUUAGAAUACAAUAGUUAUUUUACAUGAUAUCAAAAUAGGAGAUUCUGAAUUCAAGUCAAAUUAGGCUUCCAGCAUAAUAAUUUUCUUUCAUUUAAUUCAAACGCAUGUCAUGAGCCGACGAUCCAGACGUAAUAGCUUACUCUUUUAGAGUGCAACGGUAGCUUUGAGCUUGAACGGAAGAAAAAGAAACACUUGUCAUAGUCAAAAUGUAUCCCGACAUAACAAUUAGGGACGCGAUUCUCAUUUGGUCCAACCUGUCCUCCGCCAUAGGACAUGACAUUGAACUCAUUUCAGCCGACAAUUUCUUCGUGAUUUACACUUUUCUAUCAAUUACGUAUCACAAUGUAAACUAAUUUGUAAAGCACUGUAAAAUUUGUUUAUGAGCAUAACAUUAUAAAAAUACUAUCUUGAAACUCUAGGGUACGUGGUGCACAUCUUGCACAUAAAAAUUUAUAUAUUUUUUAGAACUUUUAAUAUUAAAUAAAUUAAUAAGAUAAUUAAAGGUCAUUGCGUAAGAUUUAUUAUAUCUAGAAAUCUAGGUGCAGCAUUGCCCAUUCCUUUACGAGAGAUGAUGGGUUGAUUAUCAAAAGGCAUUUGUAAUGGUACAAUAUCACUAUUUAAGAGUCAAUUUUCCUUGCACCAACCUUACCUUUUUUUUUUUCUUUUUCUUUUUUUUUUUUUGUAUUGUCAAAACAGUGCUAUUAAAAACCUUGAAUUAAGCUGUCCAUAUGUUCCAUAAAUAGAUAUAAAACUUACACUCAUAGUCUUCUUAUAGCCCAACUUAAUCUACUUAUAUAAUUUUUUUUUUUUCUGUUUACUAAAACCCAAAGUGAUGAUAUUAAGGGCCUGUUUGGCCUAGCUUCUGGAGAAGUGAUUUCUGUAAAAGUGAUUUUGGUUUGAAUAAUUGAUUUUGGUGAAAAACUAUAGAGCGUUUGGUUGAAUUUAAAAAAAAAGUGAUUUUUCUGCAGUGAUUUUCUAAAGCUGUUUGGCAAUAAAUUUUUGAUGUUUGCAUAUAUUAAUAUUUUUACUAAAUUUUACUUUUAAAAUAAUUUAAAUUAAAAUUUUAAAUUUAAUUAAAAGUAUAAUUUUUAAGUUUCAAACUUGUACAAAAUUUUUUUUUUGAAAUUUCAAAAUUUUAAAUUUAAAAUCUGAAUUUUAAAAUCUAAAUUUAAAUUUUCAAAUUUAAAAUUUUCAAUUUUAAAAAUAAAAAUAAAAAUAAAAAUUUAAAAUUUAAAAUUUGUGUUAUGCAUGUUUCGUGCAUUAAAAAUAAAUAAAAUAUUAUUCUAUCACGUUUUCUGACCAAACUUAAUGAACUUCUACGGACAAUGCCAAACAAAACCAUAAAAUGAGCUUAGCAGUUUUUUAAUUUUUUAAAACUUUUUUUUGGCCAUUUUACAAAAGAUGCUUUUGGAUUAAUUUGGUUAAACUAUGCUGCAAAAUAUAUCUAAUAAGAACAAAAGUAGAAGAGUCUAUCGAAUCCAUCCAUCCUUAUAUAAUUUACAGCUAAAAUUAUAAAAAGGACAACAAAACUAAAUAAGGGUUGAAUUUGCAAUUUUUUGGUUGCAAUUUAUAACUAAACAGUGGCUCAUUGCGAACUAUGCAAAAAUGAUAAUGACAGUAAAGUCGUCAAUUCCAACUUCGUGUAGAAAUACUAUUCUUUAAUAACUAUGCGAAAUAACCGACCGUCCCUAGAGCAAAUGGCAAAGGGCUUGGUGGUUGGUACCCGAGACCCAAGUUUGAAUCCUAGUUGAUUCACAUUUCAGCUAAGUUUAUUUCUAAAUGAAAUAAACGAUGCGGGUAGCGUGUUACCUAUCUCUCAAAAAAAAAAAAAAAAAACUAUGCGAACUAUAAAUUACAGAAUACUAUUUUCUGACAGAAAAUAAGAGUUAUUUUACGUAACAGCAGUGCAAGUAACAUGCACGUUAUUAAUGUAGAUUAUUAUGUGAGAUGACUUGUAUUGGCCUUUACAGCUUAUAAAAAUGAAUGAUUCAAUUAUUCAAUAUAUAUAUAUAUAUAUAUAUAUAUGAGGAGAAAGAAAAGGACAAGUAUAAAAUCUCCCUUGCACAUCGAUCGAGUGCCUAACCAGCUUCUGAAUCGACAUUUAUUGCUUCAAUUAUUCAAUGCGUUACAAAAAUUAUUAUCUUUCUUUCUAAUAUAUAUUUUCACCAUUCGAUCCAAAAUAGCGACUUGAUUUUUAUUCUUUUCACGCGAACUCUUCACUUUUAUAAUAUCAAAAAGAAAGAAAUUAAAAAUCUAUAAAUUUGAGUCAAUUUCUCAAUAAAUUUGAGUCAUUCUAUAAUAAAAAUCUAAUUUUUAAUUUUGAAGACUGAAUUCAAGUGUAAUAUAUUUAAAAGUUAAGAAAAUAAAAUAUUUAAAUUGAAUUACACCAGUAACACAGCCGAAUUCGGGAUAGUAUAGGGUCGUCACAGAAUUAUAGCAUUUCAGAAAUGUUGUAUAUGGAUUAGAAAGUUGCUAGAGACUUAAUAUUUUUGCUAAUGGAUUAAUUAUAAUUUUUCCCUAAGUAUGAGAACAUAUAACAAAAUCUCUUAAAACAUAGAAGUACAAUAUUCCUUUUUUUCUUUGAAAAUCGAUUAAAAAUUUAAAAUAUUUUAGAUAGAAAACAUGAAGAAUUAAAAAAAAAAAUAUUACAAAUGCAAACACACCUCACCCCAUUCAUUACGGACGAAAAAGUGACCAAACGAGGGUCCCAAACCGAGAAAAAUAAGUAUACAAUAUAUGUUUCAGAUCUAUGUAUAUUUAUUGCUUUGCUUAGAUCUAAAUUGGAUGCAACAUAGAGGGUAAAUUACCUUUCGGGCCUCAAAUUAUGAGGCCAUUGUCAUUUUGGUCCUCAAAUUUUAAAUUGUUUAUAAUUUUUGGCUAAAAUUGUUACAAUUAAGUCUCUCAACCUAAUUAGCUAACUAUUGAUAAAUUACAAAUGUGAAAGUGAUAAAUAAUCUUAAUUAUUGUCGUAUCAUCAAUCAAAAUACUUCUGCAUCAAUUUAUUGUCGUAUCAUCAAUCAAAAUACUUCUGCAUCAACAAUUAAUUAAUAUUUAGCUAACUAAAUUAGGUUGUAAAGCUUGAUUGCAAUAUUUAAUUAGUUUGACUUAAAAAUUAUUAUAAAUUAAAAUUGAGGACCAAAGUGCCACACGUUUCAUAGUUUGAGGACCGGAGUGUCACCAUCCUCAUAUUUGAGGAUCAAAAGUGUAAUUUACCUUCUCAUAAAUGUGCUCAUAAUUAAAUUAGUUGGACAAGGUAUGGCACAAAAAAUAUCUCUCAUCUCCUUGAAUUGAAGGGAUUAAACUUCGAGGUAAUUUAAAUUGUACUCGUGAAAAAUGUUAAAUUUUCACACAAAUUCCUCUAAAAUUGAUAAUAUUAACAAUUUUUCGAUAAGCAUAAAAAUUAUUGGGGCAAUUUCUUAUAUACCCCUGAAAGUUUCCAAUUUUUCGAUUUACCCCUCUUAGAAGGCUAAUAUUGAAAAUACCCCUCCUACGUUCCAACCUAUUUCUAAUAUACCCUUAGAGUUAUAAUCUGUUAAAUAACACUGUUAUCUCUGUAAAAUUACUCUUUUACCCUUUUCAAAUAUACCCUUCCACCAUCAUUGUCUUUCUUAUUUGCCCUUAAAGUCAGGGGCACAAAAAGUAUUUCAACUUUUUAUCUUUUUCAAUAUACCCCUCUACCGUAACCAACCUUUCUUAUUUGCCCUUAAGAUAAGGGCAAAAUUGGCAUUUUAAUUUUUUUUAACUGUGAUAAAUAUUUAACUCACGUUUAACUCAGGUUAACUUAACAGGAGAUAACUACGGGGGUAUUUUGCAAUAACGGUGGAAUAUAUGAAGGGCAUUUUAGAAAGAAAAAAAAAGUAGGGGUAGAUCGGAUAUUUCCAGACGCAUGAGGGUUAUAUAGGCAAUUAUCCCAAAAUUAUUUAUAUAAAAAUAAUCUUUUUCCAGGGUAUUUUCGGUUAAAAUGCAAGUGAAUAAUCAUACUCUAAAAAGAGUCCGUAUAUUUAUAAGGACAUUGUCGAUAUUUAUUUUAUAUAAAUAUUAAUACGGUCAACACCGUCCUAUUAACUUAAUCUCAUUUUAUGUUUUAAUGCUUAGUUCGAUGUAAUUAUAAAUACUAUAUAUAAGUAAAGAUGCAUAUAGUUAAAAAUAAAAUAGUUAUAAUUAUUGUAAAUAAUAUAUUUGACUAAAGAUAGUAGAAAGCACUAUAAUUAUAAAUAAUUUAUUUAAUUUAUGCAAUUGAAAAGUAUGUGUGUAUAUAGAGCGGAGAGAUUAACCAUUUAUAGAAAAAUAAAAUAUUUUAUGUAUAACAUGUUAUUAGAAAGGUAAGUUUAUAUUUUGUUUAACGUUACGCUCUCCAUCUACUACAGCUACAAAUGCGGUCAAUUUGUGUAUUGUUCUAGUUGGUGCAAUUAAAUUUGUUCGUACAAUUUCAAUUGCAGCAGUGGAAUGAAAUACAUCAAACUAAAAAUAAGAUUUGAAUCUAUAUGCAUUUAUAACUGCAAUACAGUUGUAACUACAAACAAUUUAAUACAGUUAUAACUAUAUACAAUCUAGGGCUGUCAACGAGCCGAGCAUGAAUAAGCUGGACUAGCUUAUGUUCGACUCGUCUAAUAAACGAGCCGAACACAAGCUGGCUUGUUAAAAUAUCGAGCUGAAAAAUUUAGCCAUGUUCGACUCGUUCUGACUUGCGAUUAGUAAGUUAGAUUGUCAAACGCCCUACUAAGUGAAAAAUUGGAAGAAAAUUAAAACUUAAUCUAAUAAUUGAAAUUCACAAAAUAUAGAUCUCUUUAUAUUUAAAUUGGCCUAAAAUUCAAAUAGUAGAAAUAUAUAUAUAUAUAUAUAUAUAUAUAUAUAUAUAUAUAUAUAUGCUUUCGAAAGUAUGAAGAUCUUCAUGCUUAUAAGUUAUUUUCGAUGAUAGAAUAUCUGAUUCGGUCAUCGUUUCUGUUAGACAUGAUUUACGCUCUGGAAACUAUUUAGAAAUCAAAUUUUAUAAUUUUUUGACUUUAUUUGUCUAGUGAACGAGUAGCUUAAAAAUAAACGAUUGAAAAUAAAAAUCUCAUAAAAAAUAAUAAUAAAAGACUUAAAUUUCAAAUCAGAAGUAUUGAUUUUGCUAUUGAUGUUAAGUAGAAUUUUGUAUUAAAAUUUCAUGUAAUUUGGAUUGUUCUACAUCGUUAAACUUUAAAACGGGCUACAUCGACUGUUAAAAUAGUCAUUUUUAAAACCUUUUAAUCAUGUGGUAAAUGAUGUCGAAAAAUUAUAAAAUUUGGUUUCUAAAUAGUUCUAAUAGUUUCAAUUACGUAGAUUAUGUCUAACAGAGCUGAUUGUUAAAUUGGAUGUCCUAUUAUUGAAAACAACUUAUAAGUACGGAGGCCUCCGUACUUUUGAAAGUACGGAAGACGUACUCUCUCUCUCUCUCUCUCUCUCUCUCUCUCUCUCUAUAUAUAUAUAUAUAUAUAAUGCUAUUAAUAGCACCAAGUCAUUUGUACUAUUAAGUUUUUAGCCUUCAAAUGAAGAAAUAUACGAUUAGGAUAGUGCCACUAGUGUACGUUUGGUUCGGGGAUAAAAGGGGGGUUAGGGGGUUAACUCCUCUUUUAUCCCCAAACAGAAUGCCUCUAGGGUUGAGUACAUGGCUGGUGGAAUAGUAGGAUCCAAGGGAUGGGAAUGGGCAAACGGGUAGAUUAAACGACGAAACACUUGGUAGCACCAAAUGUUUGGUACUAUUAAUAGCAUUGUAGUCGGACUAUAUAUAUAUAGAGAGAGAGAGAGAGAGAGAGAGAGAGAGAGCUACAUCGAGCCGAAUACGAGUAAGCUUGUCUAAGGUCAUCAAUAUUUCAAGCUAAAAAAUUUAACUUGUAUUCGGCGCGUUUAUUAAACAAGCGAUCGAUCUCGAGUUCACUUCGAAUCGAACACGAGCUGGCUCACGAAUAGCAAGUUAAAUUGUUAGCCCUAAUGCAAUCAAACAACCUCUUACUAGAAAACAAACU
Molecule: long non-coding RNA, 6701 nt
Filed under: Ananas comosus (pineapple)
Lineage: Eukaryota; Viridiplantae; Streptophyta; Magnoliopsida; Poales; Bromeliaceae
Description: long non-coding RNA (ACOM_LNC033794)
Source: RNAcentral